Molecule: long non-coding RNA, 2490 nt
Organism: Gorilla gorilla gorilla (western lowland gorilla)
Lineage: Eukaryota; Metazoa; Chordata; Mammalia; Primates; Hominidae
Exons: 17
Source: RefSeq, a predicted model, not a curated record
GCCAGCUGAGGCACAUGCCUUGGGAGCUAAGUGGUUGCUGCCCUUGACUACUAUGAAGACUGGUGUGGGAAGGGUCGCUUUGGAUGCACUUGAGCAGGGGUCCCCAAUCCCUGAGCCAUGGAGCCGUAAGGAGCCACACAGCAGGUGGGACCAUCCAGUUUCAGGAAAACAAGCUUAACACGCCCACUGAUUCUACAUUAUGCUCCUACCUCCCGGCAGCCUCGCCAGGCCCAGAACUCUCUCCAGUCAGCCUCUACAGACCAAGCUCAUGACUCACAAUGGCCUAUUGAGGCCCAUACCCUACCUCACGGCAGUCUCCGCAGAUGAGCCUACUGCCUCACAACAGCCUCCACAGGCACAGCUCCAUCGUUACAAUGGCCUCUUUAGACCCAGCUCCUGCCGCCCAGCCUUCUCUCCAGGCCCUGAACUUUCUCCGUGGGACCAUCCAGUUUCAGGAAAACAAGCUGAACACGCCCACUGAUUCUACAUUAUGCUCCUACCUCCCGGCAGCCUCGCCAGGCCCAGAACUCUCUCCAGUCAGCCUCUACAGACCAAGCUCAUGACUCACAAUGGCCUAUUGAGGCCCAUACCCUACCUCACGGCAGUCUCCGCAGAUGAGCCUACUGCCUCACAACAGCCUCCACAGGCACAGCUCCAUCGUUACAAUGGCCUCUUUAGACCCAGCUCCUGCCGCCCAGCCUUCUCUCCAGGCCCUGAACUUUCUCCGUGGGACCAUCCAGUUUCAGGAAAACAAGCUUAACACGCCCACUGAUUCUACAUUAUGCUCCUACCUCCCGGCAGCCUCGCCAGGCCCAGAACUCUCUCCAGUCAGCCUCUACAGACCAAGCUCAUGACUCACAAUGGCCUAUUGAGGCCCAUACCCUACCUCACGGCAGUCUCCGCAGAUGAGCCUACUGCCUCACAACAGCCUCCACAGGCACAGCUCCAUCGUUACAAUGGCCUCUUUAGACCCAGCUCCUGCCGCCCAGCCUUCUCUCCAGGCCCUGAACUUUCUCCGUGGGACCAUCCAGUUUCAGGAAAACAAGCUGAACACGCCCACUGAUUCUACAUUAUGCUCCUACCUCCCGGCAGCCUCGCCAGGCCCAGAACUCUCUCCAGUCAGCCUCUACAGACCAAGCUCAUGACUCACAAUGGCCUAUUGAGGCCCAUACCCUACCUCACGGCAGUCUCCGCAGAUGAGCCUACUGCCUCACAACAGCCUCCACAGGCACAGCUCCAUCGUUACAAUGGCCUCUUUAGACCCAGCUCCUGCCGCCCAGCCUUCUCUCCAGGCCCUGAACUUUCUCCGUGGGACCAUCCAGUUUCAGGAAAACAAGCUGAACACGCCCACUGAUUCUACAUUAUGCUCCUACCUCCCGGCAGCCUCGCCAGGCCCAGAACUCUCUCCAGUCAGCCUCUACAGACCAAGCUCAUGACUCACAAUGGCCUAUUGAGGCCCAUACCCUACCUCACGGCAGUCUCCGCAGAUGAGCCUACUGCCUCACAACAGCCUCCACAGGCACAGCUCCAUCGUUACAAUGGCCUCUUUAGACCCAGCUCCUGCCGCCCAGCCUUCUCUCCAGGCCCUGAACUUUCUCCGUGGGACCAUCCAGUUUCAGGAAAACAAGCUGAACACGCCCACUGAUUCUACAUUAUGCUCCUACCUCCCGGCAGCCUCGCCAGGCCCAGAACUCUCUCCAGUCAGCCUCUACAGACCAAGCUCAUGACUCACAAUGGCCUAUUGUGGCCCAUACCCUACCUCACGGCAGUCUCCGCAGAUGAGCCUACUGCCUCACAACAGCCUCCACAGGCACAGCUCCAUCGUUACAAUGGCCUCUUUAGACCCAGCUCCUGCCGCCCAGCCUUCUCUCCAGGCCCUGAACUUUCUCCGUGGGACCAUCCAGUUUCAGGAAAACAAGCUGAACACGCCCACUGAUUCUACAUUAUGCUCCUACCUCCCGGCAGCCUCGCCAGGCCCAGAACUCUCUCCAGUCAGCCUCUACAGACCAAGCUCAUGACUCACAAUGGCCUAUUGUGGCCCAUACCCUACCUCACGGCAGUCUCCGCAGAUGAGCCUACUGCCUCACAACAGCCUCCACAGGCACAGCUCCAUCGUUACAAUGGCCUCUUUAGACCCAGCUCCUGCCGCCCAGCCUUCUCUCCAGGCCCUGAACUUUCUCCGUGGGACCAUCCAGUUUCAGGAAAACAAGCUGAACACGCCCACUGAUUCUACAUUAUGCUCCUACCUCCCGGCAGCCUCGCCAGGCCCAGAACUCUCUCCAGUCAGCCUCUACAGACCAAGCUCAUGACUCACAAUGGCCUAUUGUGGCCCAUACCCUACCUCACGGCAGUCUCCGCAGAUGAGCCUACUGCCUCACAACAGCCUCCACAGGCACAGCUCCAUCGUUACAAUGGCCUCUUUAGACCCAGCUCCUGCCGCCCAGCCUUCUCUCCAGGCCCUGAACUUUCUCCGUAAGUUGAGGUAGCUGG